Molecule: long non-coding RNA, 812 nt
Organism: Uranotaenia lowii
Lineage: Eukaryota; Metazoa; Arthropoda; Insecta; Diptera; Culicidae
Exons: 3
Source: RefSeq, a predicted model, not a curated record
UGUCAAGUUCCGCGCAAGUUUCUAAAAAAAUAGAAUUUCCCCCUACAAAUAAUUUAUUCCGUAAUAGAACCCUCAGCUUCAGAUGCAACAAACAGGAACUCAGUUGCAAUAAUUCUUUUAAAAGCACCACUUCAUAAGCCUUCAACAACUCGCAUGAUGCCGCACACGAAUAACAAACUACAACAUAUUGCAACGAAUCGUCGUUUCCCAAAGUCUGCUGAACUCGCGACCCGAGUCAUAUGGAAUUCAUAUGAUAAUGUGGAAUCUACAACACCAUGUGACUCCAUUUAUGUACAAGCUUCGAGUGUCCAGAUUCUGCAAUUGUAAGAAAUGUGAAAAGGAAAAUGUACUUUGCCAUGCCAUUGAAUCUAUCGGUAAAGUUCUGCUACUGGUGCUGGUUAUAGGGAACCGAAUUGCUAUAACUUGAUGGAUUUUAUAGUCAACUAAAUAAUACCUUUCAUUCAUAAUCCGUUCAUUGGUUUGAUCUACCAUUCUACAAAUUCCGGAAACAAGUUCAUCGUAAAUUAAGGCAAUUAUUAUACUUGUCUCCCAAUGAGCCAUCUAUGCAUAUAACAGCAAAAAAUGAAAACCAACAGCCGGUCACCCUUUCUGAGUAUUCCUGCAUGCUACCUACAUAUUUAAAACUGUUUCAUCUAAAGGACCUACAUUUUCUUCGCUAUCAAACUUGGCUCAGAGUUGCCAAGACCUCUGUUCUCUAGGUCAUUUGCAUCAUGCAACUGAACGAAUCAAUUGUUGGACGAAUAGUUUCAAGUCGUGUAGAUUGGUCAAACCACGGUGUGGCCGUUACUAGC